GCACCUGUGUGGGUCAAGCCAAUCUUGCUUCUGUCUCUCCUGGGCCACUGCACUCCUACAAGAUGAUAGGCGCCAUGAGCUGGAGUCAGCAUCACAGGAGUCAGAGUCCUUGCAUCCGAACAGCCCAGCAUCACUAGGACGUUUCAGCGCACAGAGGCUGCUGUCUAAGAGCUGUUUAUGCAACUUUCUCUGAGGUACCUGGUCCAGGCCACACGGGUUCCUGGGCUGAUGCGAGCUGGAAGUACCUGUGUUUCAAGGUCAAACAUCUCAGAAGAUCUCUGAUGCUCCAGACAAAAAGUCCACAACCUUCAAAAGAAAAUAAAACCCAAGGCGCAUGUAGGUAUGAAACGGAGCAGGAUGUUAAAUACGCAACCUACGUCAGCAAGGAGCUUGCUCUUAAUCAACCAUCCACCUGAAAUACCUGGGGGCAAGGAAGGAGGCUGCGGGAACGUGUUGCAACAGACUGAAGCCAUCUCAGAGGAGAGCUGCCACACAAACGGCGAGCCGGAAGGGUGGCUUCAGAAGCCACUUGUUAAACGUCUCCCGUUUGAUCCCCACGCGCCAGAAGCAGGAUGAAAAUGUUAAUUCCAAGAAAGUCCCCCUCCUCACUCCAGCAGGUUUAUUAUCCUAAUUGACUUACGGCGCUCGGUUCUAAAUUAGCCUGCUUGGAAAUGUGAUCGGCACCGCCCAACAUGGCAAGAUCUCCAAAGGGGCUGUGCUAACAAAUACAGCUGAAGACAGCCAUGUGAUGUUAAUAUAAACCUCCUCUGUCAGCUUGGAGAGGCACCAGGAAAUCGCCCAGGAAUGCUUUUUGCAGCGCCUGUCUCCGCUCGGUGCCACGCGGUGGCAUUUGUCAGGCGCACUCAGCCGCGGCUCUCCGGAGGGCAUGGACCCUGUCUGGGUCACCGUAACAUGUGUCGUGUUGUGUCUGAGCACAUCGAUGACUUUUUAAUGUAAAAAAAAAAAAAAAAUUAAAAAAAAAAAAAUAUAAAAAAAGGAAGUGAUUCUGGGUUACAAAAAGCGACCCCAAAACCAGUUCCUGUCAUUCUGGCUCAUCCAUAAGGAUCCGGCCAUCGCAUAAGUGAUACUUGAGUCAUGAUAAAAAGAGAACUGCAGUUCUCUUUACAUUUCAAGGGUAAUUUCUCUUUGAGCCCCUCAUCAAAAUCGCCACACUGGAAUAAACAUAAAAACCAUGGAACUCAGGCGUAUUCUUAUUUGGGAUCACUUCAUUUAAGAAAGGAGGAAAAUUGAUUUUAAAGUCUGAUGCAAUUUCUUUUGUGGUCAUGCAGUUUAAGUUUGCAUUUCACUGUGUUUGCCUCAGCAACAUGUUUAAUUUCUUUCUUUUUUAUAUUUAAUUUUAUUUUCUGUUUUUUAUGAAGUCCCACAAUGAUGUUUUUUUUUUUUUUGUGGUGAGCUGUCAUGGUGUUACCAAUGCAUCUGAAAUAUUACAGGCAGAAAGACAGCCACUUGAAAGCAGUAAUGAGGCAAGUCUAACCUAGCUUUUAUUUCCUAUAUGUAUUUUGUCCUAUAUAAAGUUAUACAAAGAGUAAAGCUUUCAUCCCAAUACUGCAACUGCUUGUAAAUAUAUUUAGUUUUAUUAUGCAGCAGCACAAGCUGAUUACAUCUAUAAUACAGAGGUAUAAGCCCUAGCUUUUGAACAUAAUUUAGAAAUACAUCUAGAGAAAAGGAAAUAAAAGCACAAUUUGCAAAUGUUGUACAAGUUUUCCCUCUGUAUCUUGUGAUACCAAACAUCUUUUAAAACCCUACCCCAAAUGAUUUAGGAGCAAAAGUCCCACUAACUGAGAUAAGAGCCUAAAUCAGUCAAAUGUGGCAGAAGGUGAUUACAUUCCUGACGGGUCCUUUUCAAUUGUAUUUUCACAUGUUUAUUUUCACUCUGAUGUAGAUAGACUGACUGUUCCUUAGCAUGUUGGGAGCCGAGUGCAUAUUUAGCUCUGCUAUGUGCACUGCCGGCAUUUUUGGGGUUACUUAAAUGUAGGUCAAAUCAGAGAGGACUUGGAAGAAGUAUGGUGGAGGCAAAAUUGAGGGAGGAAAGGUCGUGCGCAGCACGAUGCAACACAGAUGGCCGCUUUAUCGCUAGGACCGUGUGGCAGGAUCCAAACUCAUCUGACAGUCGUCUGGUGUCAUGAUACAAAACUUUUUCAGGGACUGCUGAACCUCUGAAAGUAUCUGGGUGUGUUCGGCAUGAUGUUCACGCUUCGCUGACCUUGCAGAAGCCUUGGAGUAGUUGCAGUUUCAAGUCUAGUUUUGCAAAUGAAGAGGUUUGGUGCAAUGCUUGUGGUGGGAUGGAGAUCCAGCCACACAUUUUGGUGCUUGCCAGGUCUCUCAACCCAGACUCACCAGGUUUCUAUAGGUUUCCAGAGAGCAGAUGGACAUUUUGUGAGUCCCACCUUGCCUGGCAUCUCUGCAGGGGUGAGAACAACUCAACAGAACUUCUUCUCUGUGGAUCAGCCCUUACGUUCCUCCUGCUCAACGACUACGCAGAAAUCAAGAAUGAAGUGACUGGAGGAUUUACAUUGGAACUAGAUCCCCAUGGAUCAGAACAUGAAUAACACCUCCAUCCCCUCCCAAAUCUUCCAGGCCUGACCUUUCACAAUCUCCAUUUCCUGACCAAUGACUCCAAAGAAAAUAGAGCUGCUAGUUGGUAUUUAAUGGAAAUCUGUGCAAAACUUGUCAAAAUACACCACCAUGCCUGUCAGAUGCCUGGGACAAGACCUCUACAGUAGUUUCCAGAAACCUAGUGCAAUUACUUACAUUUUAAAUUAUCUUUAAUUGUCGCAUGUGAGCUACAGAAACAUUUUUUCCCCACUCCGAAGCAAGACCUCGCUAUUAAGAGUCACCCCAUAAUUGCAGCUUUAAUAGGGGGACCGCAGCAGGUCAGCCACGAAGGUUAGCGCAGGGCGCAGCGAGGCGAGAGCGGCUGCUGAACGCCAGUAAGUGGAAGUGACACAUCACAAUAGUCCCAUCAAUUAUGUAGGGGCAGUUUGGAGUGCAAACUUUUUAGUGAAUCUAAUUACCUCGCCAGAUGUUUUAAUCCAAUCUCCUUGCCUCUCCUCUGCCGUCAAAUACUACAUUGGGUUUUGAGUUCCUGAUAUGAAAAAUUUACCUUAACUAUAGAAUCUAGAAGAAACUUGUUUGUUUUGUUUUUUUUUUUUUUUUUUUUUUUUCUGGAACUGAGCAUCCUUUUGCUAUCUGAGAGAUUAUUCAGGUUCACGUGUGACUCGGUGCUCAUGGGAUUGCACUGAAUCAGAAUGAAUGCGCUCCUGAAUUGAUAAGGGUGUCACAAAGGGUGCAAGACUGAUGGAAAAAUAGAUUAAAUGGUGUAAAUGUGCUCAAGAGCUGAAUGACAACUGUUAGCCCGGCAAUGCCAAAUUUAAGCAGGCCCUGUCAGUGACGUUAGAGAUGCUGCACCAGAUUUUCCAAGGCUGUUUGCAACUUGACCUAAUGUUCCUGUUGACACAAAACCUUGAAAGCGCAGCUAAAAGCAGGAUAGCUGAACACUCCUGAUUCGCUCACAGAUUGCGGUCAGAACUGAGCAUGAAAGAAAAUAUUUGCCUAUGCAUCCAGGAGAGGAGAAAAUAGUGAAUUAACUGUGCACACAGAUGCAUGAUAUUACCUUCUAGAAGUGCAGCGGGGGGAAGGAACCUACCAGCAUUGGGGGGAGUUUCCCUGUCACUCAGUAAAUGGUGAUUUUUAGUUUGGUGGGAAAUCUGUGUGUGCACAUGUAACACGUUGAUCAGUCUUCAGCCUGGACUGUGGUGCAUGGAAAAAAAAAUCUCCGUCUUUGACAAUUUAAAACUCUAGCAUGCAAAAAACCCAACCCAAAUCAGAGGAGCCUCAAACUGUUCAUUGUUAGAACUCCAGCUGAACUAUUUGAUGGCCUUUAUUUUCACCAGCUUGUCACAUUAAUAGUUGCUUUUCUUCCCUUCUUGCCCCAUCCCGCUCCCCAGUGAGAGACCAUUCAGACUUGUACCAGGCACAACGUUAGUUGCAUGCUCUUGGGAGGGAAACACGCAGAGCAAACAAUGAAACAAGGCUGUUUAUAAAGCCUUCAACACAUUAGGCAGUGGAGAAGAGCCCAAGUUUCCAUGUAAAGGCCUGAAUGGACAAGCAUGAUGUGAAACACAUGGAAAAUGUGGAAUAUGUAAUAAAAUUAUAAAUAAAACAAAUACAAUAA
Tyto alba (common barn owl) is the source of this 4195-nucleotide long non-coding RNA. RefSeq lists it as uncharacterized. The record is from RefSeq and is a predicted model, not a curated record. Lineage: Eukaryota; Metazoa; Chordata; Aves; Strigiformes; Tytonidae. The transcript is spliced from 4 exons.